CACGGGGGGAGCAAGCGUUGUUCGGAAUCACUGGGCGUAAAGGGCGUGUAGGCGGUCAGGUAAGUGAAAUGUGAAAUGCCUCGGCUCACCCGAGGACCGGCAUCUCAUACUGCCUGACUUGAGUACGGGAGAGGAUGUGGGAAUUCCUGGUGUAGCGGUGAAAUGCGUAGAUAUCUGGAGGAACACCGGUGGCGAAGGCGGCAUCCUGGACCGGUAUUGACGCUGAGGCGCGAAAGCCAGGGGAGCAAACGGG
Molecule: ribosomal RNA, 253 nt
Filed under: uncultured prokaryote
Description: partial 16S ribosomal RNA
Rfam family: Bacterial small subunit ribosomal RNA
Source: RNAcentral